RNAcentral lists this ribosomal RNA (775 nucleotides) under uncultured Neocallimastigales. RNAcentral's name for it is "partial large subunit ribosomal RNA". It matches the Rfam family "Eukaryotic large subunit ribosomal RNA", at positions 24 to 633 of the family's 3401-position model. Lineage: Eukaryota; Fungi; Neocallimastigomycota; Neocallimastigomycetes; Neocallimastigales. The record is from RNAcentral.
GUAUGUGAUCGUCUCUCGCAUAUCAAUAAGCGGAGGAAAAGAAACUAACAAGGAUUCCCCUAGUAACGGCGAGUGAAGCGGGAAGAGCUCAAAUUUGAAAUCUUAAAGGGUUUCCCUUUACGAAUUGUAGUUUAAAGAAGUGUUUUCUGUUGAGGUUUUGGUAAAAGUUCUUUGGAAUAGGACAUCAUAGAGGGUGAGAAUCCCGUAUUUGACCUUUACUUUCAACUUUGUGAUACACUUUCAAAGAGUCGGAUUGUUUGGGAAUACAGUCCAAAAUGGGUGGUAAAUUUCAUCUAAAGCUAAAUAUUGGCGAGAGACCGAUAGCGAACAAGUACCGUGAGGGAAAGAUGAAAAGAACUUUGAAAAGAGAGUUAAACAGUACGUGAAAUUGUCAAAAGGGAAGCGUUUGACACCAGUGUUGUUUUUCUGAAAAUCAAUUAAAGAACUGUUUAUGCUAAGCUGUUUAGACUUUAUCAGCUAACUGUUUAGUUUUGAGCUCUUCUUUAAUGCACUUUUCAGUUAACAAGUCAACAUCAAUUUCUUUUGCUGUAAAAAAGCUUGAGGAAGGUGGCUUGAGAUUCGUCUUAAGUGUUUAUAGCCUCUUGCCUAUGCAGUCGGAGAGAUUGAGGUCUGCAGCGUAGAUCCUUCGGGGCUAAAUGCAUUUGUGCUAAGUUAUAGCAUUUUAUAGACAACUUGUUGACUAUGAUUUGUCUUGCAGCUUACUCGCUUAUGUUAUUUUACCUACGCUUAGGAUGUUGAAGACUCUACAGAGAUA